AUACUAUGAUGAGGACAUCUCCUAAGUAACUCCUUAAAUCUUUCUCAUAAAUCAUACAAGCUCUUAUCUUCAAGUAGAUGGAAAAAUAUGACCUCAUUCCUUAAUUU
Molecule: non-coding RNA, 107 nt
Organism: Citrus sinensis (sweet orange)
Lineage: Eukaryota; Viridiplantae; Streptophyta; Magnoliopsida; Sapindales; Rutaceae
Source: Rfam